UGGGGAUUAUUGCACAAUGGGCGCAAGCCUGAUGCAGCCAUGCCGCGUGUAUGAAGAAGGCCUUCGGGUUGUAAAGUACUUUCAGCGGGGAGGAAGGGAGUAAAGUUAAUACCUUUGCUCAUUGACGUUACCCGCAGAAGAAGCACCGGCUAACUCCGUGCCAGCAGCCGCGGUAAUACGGAGGGUGCAAGCGUUAAUCGGAAUUACUGGGCGUAAAGCGCACGCAGGCGGUUGAUUGAGUCAGAUGUGAAAUCCCCGGGCUUAACCCGGGAAUUGCAUCUGAGACUGGUCAGCUAGAGUCUUGUAGAGGGGGGUAGAAGUCCAUGUGUAGCGGUGAAAUGCGGAGAGAUGUGGAGGAAUACCGGUGGCGAAGGCGGCCCCCUGGACAAAGACUGACGCUCAGGUGCGAAAGCGUGGGGAGCAAACAGG
RNAcentral lists this ribosomal RNA (429 nucleotides) under Chloroflexota bacterium. RNAcentral's name for it is "Chloroflexi bacterium partial 16S ribosomal RNA". It matches the Rfam family "Bacterial small subunit ribosomal RNA", at positions 355 to 776 of the family's 1533-position model. The record is from RNAcentral. Lineage: Bacteria; Bacillati; Chloroflexota.